Long non-coding RNA from Cydia splendana, 606 nucleotides. RefSeq lists it as uncharacterized. The transcript has 2 exons. Lineage: Eukaryota; Metazoa; Arthropoda; Insecta; Lepidoptera; Tortricidae. The record is from RefSeq and is a predicted model, not a curated record.
UAAGGAGACGGCCGCUUCUCCAUACAAACGUAGUCCCCAUUUUCCUCCCUGGAUAUUGAUAUUAUGGAAAAUAUUUUUACAUAAUGAGUUACAGUUAGGUUCCGUAGCCAAAUGGCAAAAAACGGAACCCUUAUGGAUUCGUCAUGUCUGUCUGUCUGUCUGUCCGUCCGUAUGUAACAGCCACUUUUUUCCGAAACUAUAAGAACUAUACUGUUGAAACUUGGUAAGUAGAUGUAUUCUGUGAACCGCAUUAAGAUUUUCACACAAAAAUAGAAAAAAAAAACAAUACAUUUUGGGGGUUCCCCAUACUUAGAACUGAAACUCAAAAAUUUUUUUUUUCAUCAAACCCAUACGUGUGGGGUAUCUAUGGAUAGGUCUUCAAAAAUGAUAUUGAGGUUUCUAAUAUCAUUUUUUUUUAAACUGAAUUGUUUGCGCGAGAGACACUUCCAAAUUGGUAAAAUGUGUGUCCCCCUCCCCCCUGUAACUUCAAAAAUAAGAGAAUGAUUAAACUAAAAAAAAUAUAUGAUGUAGAUUACCAUGCAAACUUCCACCAAAAAUUGGUUUGAACGAGAUCUAGUAAGUAGUUUUUUUUUAAUACGUCAUAAA